This 253-nucleotide ribosomal RNA is filed under the name uncultured bacterium. Its description in RNAcentral is "partial 16S ribosomal RNA". It matches the Rfam family "Bacterial small subunit ribosomal RNA", at positions 524 to 776 of the family's 1533-position model. The record is from RNAcentral.
UACGUAGGGUGCGAGCGUUGUCCGGAAUUAUUGGGCGUAAAGAGCUCGUAGGCGGUCCGUCGCGUCGGGAGUGAAAACUCGGGGCUCAACCCCGAGCCUGCUUUCGAUACGGGCGGACUAGAGGUAGGUAGGGGAGAACGGAAUUCCUGGUGUAGCGGUGGAAUGCGCAGACAUCAGGAGGAACACCGGUGGCGAAGGCGGUUCUCUGGGCCUUACCUGACGCUGAGGAGCGAAAGCGUGGGGAGCGAACAGG